Molecule: long non-coding RNA, 2842 nt
Organism: Drosophila obscura
Lineage: Eukaryota; Metazoa; Arthropoda; Insecta; Diptera; Drosophilidae
Exons: 2
Source: RefSeq, a predicted model, not a curated record
UUUAAAUUAUUCCUACAUUUUUACAAAUUUCCUAAAUUAAAAAAAAAUUUUUUUGUGCAAAUGCCGUCAGCAAGGUGCGAUCAGAUUAUAGCCAGAAACCCCCCAUCACCCUGCCUUAGGAUCUCCACAAACUUUUAAAACUUUUUUAAUCAAACUAAUCUAAUCAGAGGUAGAUUUCCACACUAUGCAGCAUCAUUCUCAAAACUUGGCCAUCGUUUGUGUUAUCCAAUCCAGAUAGCGAAAGACGCUCGUGUAGAUGCCGGGAAGUCCUGGCGUGCCACAGGACAGACCUGCCGAAGUAAUGCCCAUCACAUGAUACAUGCAGGGAUAAUUCUGAUGGUACAUUAAUAACGGACCACCAGAGUCCCCGUUGCAGGUAUCCUGAGCCCUAUCAGAGCCAACGCACACUUGAGUAGCGGCAUCGAAUCCGUGGGGAUAUUCCUCAAGUUGUCGUGAGAGAAUCUUCUUGCAAAUCUGGAAAAAAACAUGGCAUCGGAUCGGUAUCUUCAAUACAAUGAUGGAUAACCCAUACCGAAUCCUCGUAGCGAUCCAGUUUCACUUUGAGUAGCUUCGCGGAGGGUUUCACAGCAAACCCCGUGCUUCCCCAGCCCACAGCUAUGAAGGAAAUGAAAUAACGCUCAUCGACAAAGGGCAAGCAGGCGGGAUGCUUGUAGAGAUCGAAUACGACAUCCUCUGACAGCUUGACCAGUCCGAUGUCAUGGUAGAGCUGUGGAUCCUCAUAGUUCGGAUGUGUUUUGUAGUCCGCCACGUUGUAGUCCCGUGGGGCAGCAUCAUCUUCAAACGUGUCAAAGUCCAGCUCGCCGAGACGAACCACAUUUACCUCGCCUCUGCAGCAGCAGUAGAAAAGAUAAUUUAUUUCUUCAUUCAGUUUAUUAGCUCAGUGUCACUUACUGUUCCGAUUCCAGGCAGUGGGCAGCGGUUAGAACGAAGCGUUCACUUAUCAGUGUGCCGCCGCAGAACCAAUCAAUAUUCUGGUCCCAGCUCUAGGCGACGUCCGAGCCGUGCCAUAGGUGGAAACUCCUUGGGAUUGGCCGGAUCCCCACCCACAAUCAACGGCGUAUAGCUGCGGCAAUUGUCCACAGUUUGUCGCUGAAUAGGUGCUCCGGGCAAGAGAAAACUGUAGGCUAUCGUCUCUUCGAACACGCUCUGUUUGAGACUGGUGCAAGCUGUAAAGGGAGUGUAGUCGCCUCCAUGGAUGAGGUGAGACCAUCAGGAGAUCGGGUCACACUUACAGCGCACAAUAUCCGAAUGUAAAUGUGAAUUUUGGCCAAAACCGCAUGGCAGUUCGCUAAGCAGCAGCGACACCAGCAAGAGAAUCAUCUUCGCCACAGAUUUGAUUGCGAUUACUUUGCUCAGCCGCUAAUCAAAGCGAGGCAGGCGGGUCGCCUACCGCGCAGAACGGGUUUCGAAUCAGUUAUUCAUCGCCGAGCAAACAGAUUGAUCAAGCAGGCCCCAGGCCAUCGCAUUGCUAAAUUGUUCCGAUUUGCUUAGCUUGUUCCCCGUACAGAUGUGGUCUAUAAUUAGCAUGGAAUGGAACGUGGCUGUUACGAUCUCUUGGCCAUCUCCGCUUUAAUCCAGUCCAAGUAUUGAUGUACACGCGUGUAGAGGCCUGGAAAGUCCGGAGUGUCGCAGAAAUUUCCAGUGGAGGUGAUGCCCAUCACAUGGUACAUGCACGGAAAGUCCCUGUGAUAUGUCAGCACCGGGCCACCAGAGUCCCCGUUGCAUGUAUCCUUGUGUUCCUUGGAGCCGAUGCAGAGCUGGGUUCUGGCGUUGUAGCCGUUGGGCAGCUCCUCGUUUGGCUCGGACGUGGUGCUGCAUCGGGUGCCAUAGUUAUUCAGACGCACCUUCCUGAGCUUCUUGGAACUUUCGCUGACAACCUUUACCUGACCCCAGCCGAUGGCAAUAAAGGUCUGAUCGCUGGCGCCAUCGUGAAAGGGCAGACACGCCGGAUGCUUGUACUCGUUGAAGGUGACGGGUCGGCUCAGUCGCAGCAGGGCAAUAUCAUUGUAAAUGAUUGGAUGAGCAUAGCCAGGAUGCACCGUGGAAUUGGCCACGCAAAAGUCCUCCGGAUCGGCAUCGUCCUUGUCGUUGUCAAAUUCCAGUUCUCCCAGCCGAACGACAUUCACCGCCCCACUGCAACAGAGAAUCGUUUAGAGAUAACCAGCCCCCCUGCACUGCCUGAUAGAUACUGACUUCUCGCUGUAUAGGCAGUGGGCCGCCGUGAGAACAUGUUGAUUGCUGAUCAAGGUGCCGCCACAGAACCAAUUUAUUUCGUUAUCUUCAUCGCGAUUACCCAAGCGUGCGGCAUGGGGAAACUCCUUGGGAAGUGCGGGUCCUCCGCCGAUAAUCAGGGGCGUGUAGCUGGUGCACGUGUCUCUGGUCUUGUAGAUGACCGGUGCAUUCGCAUAGAGCAGACUGAAUUCCGACGUCUGCUCGAACACGCUCUUUUUGUAGGCAGCGCAUGCUGUAGGGUAGAGCAGUCGCCAUUGUUUCAGAAUCGAUUAUAAUCGCUGAGUACUCACAUCUGACUAGAUCCUGAUCCAGGGCUGCACUCCAGUCGGCUGCCAGCACUAGCAAGGCAGCUCCCAGCUGGAAAAUCUUUAUUGUGAACGCAGUUUGCAUUUCCCUGUCACUCGUUUCGUGUUCGUACACUCGCAACGCUCUGGCAGCUACUGAAUGUAUCUCAAUCAAUCGACGGACUCCAGCUGUGAUCUCUGCGAGGUUAUCGUCCAGCGAGAGAUUGCCUGAUGAUAGGGGGAGGGAAAACCCGGGACUAUAUUGAUUAUAAAUCAAAUAUACGCAAUUAUUAUUAUGCAACCGA